Long non-coding RNA from Sinocyclocheilus grahami, 189 nucleotides. RefSeq lists it as uncharacterized. The record is from RefSeq and is a predicted model, not a curated record. NCBI's taxonomy places the organism in Eukaryota, Metazoa, Chordata, Actinopteri, Cypriniformes, Cyprinidae. The transcript has 3 exons.
CUCAUCUACUGUACAUCUUAGGUGACCUGAGGGUUUCCAUCAUUCUGUCUUCCAUUGUUUGAACAAAAGGACUAACCACAAACUCAAAAAAUGAUCUUUCUCUCUCCGUCUCGCUCUUCCUCCCUCAAGCUGUACAGGGACAUUAGUUUGGUGAUGAUGGCAAUGGAGGUCUUGGGAGGCUAAUAGCUU